UAACUGCGUGCAGACGUGUGAACUGCAGGACACAUGAACACCGACGUUUUGAACGCAAAUGGCGGCUUGAAAUAAAUUUCAAGCCACGUCUGGCUGAGGGUCGGAUAUAAAAUCAAAAACAAAAAUGCUUUCUAAGUACAUGGAUAUGUCUUAGUGAAGUUUUAUCGUCAAGUUUUUCUAAAGCUUGAUUAGAAUAUCAUUGUAUGUUUGCUAAGUUUGUUCUAAUGUUUUGUGAACAAGCAGCAGAUUUAUGUAAUAAUAAAAUCUGUGGAAGCAGCAACAUGCUAUUGAAAAAAACAUUACAAAAUGAAUCACAUAUACGACCUCAGAGUAGGCGAGAUUACCCGCUAAAUUUAA
This 357-nucleotide unclassified non-coding RNA is filed under the name uncultured fungus. Its description in RNAcentral is "sequence contains ITS1". The stretch from base 1 to 103 matches the Rfam family "5.8S ribosomal RNA", at positions 50 to 154 of the family's 154-position model. Lineage: Eukaryota; Fungi. The record is from RNAcentral.